Molecule: ribosomal RNA, 373 nt
Filed under: uncultured organism
Description: partial 16S ribosomal RNA
Rfam family: Bacterial small subunit ribosomal RNA
Source: RNAcentral
GUAGGUGGCAAGCGUUGUCCGGAAUUAUUGGGCGUAAAGCGCGCGCAGGCGGUCCUUUAAGUCUGAUGUGAAAGCCCACGGCUCAACCGUGGAGGGUCAUUGGAAACUGGGGGACUUGAGUACAGAAGAGGAAAGCGGAAUUCCAAGCGUAGCGGUGAAAUGCGUAGAGAUUUGGAGGAACACCAGUGGCGAAGGCGGCUUUCUGGUCUGUAACUGACGCUGAGGCGCGAAAGCGUGGGGAGCAAACAGGAUUAGAUACCCUGGUAGUCCACGCCGUAAACGAUGAGUGCUAAGUGUUAGGGGGUUUCCCGCCCCCUUAGUGCUGCAGCUAACGCAUUAAGCACUCCGCCUGGGGAGUACGGCCGCAAGGCUG